Molecule: long non-coding RNA, 1221 nt
Filed under: Calidris pygmaea (Spoon-billed sandpiper)
Lineage: Eukaryota; Metazoa; Chordata; Aves; Charadriiformes; Scolopacidae
Description: lncRNA (ENSCPGG00000000166.1)
Source: RNAcentral
AUAGUGCAACAGCAGUGAUAUGUAAUUGUCUGCAUAUUUCUAAACUACACUUCAGAACAGCUUCCAGUAGCUUCCGAGCAGAGAUGCACGCACAGCUCUGGCAGAUGGUUUCUUCUGAGAGGAGAGAGGGCUCCUCGGACUAUCCAGGCCCCAUCCCAAAUACAGACCAGGCUGCUUGGCGUAUUGCAGCUCAACUACCUGCAAAAGCUCUCGAGUGGACCAGACCUGACUCUUUUCCCUGGCAGCAGAGGAUUUGAACAAAGCAGUGAAGCUCUGAAUAACCUUGAUAAAAUAAGACUGGGUCACGGUGCCCUUUGCAGUGGUAGAAAUCCCAGUAUUAGGUCAGGGUCCUGUAUUAUUACGCAGUGAACAGAUGUCCUGCAAUCAAUGUGGAGAAAACAGGCAUAGUAUGAGAAAUCAGAAAGAUUUGAGCUUGCUAGAGUUAAAGGAGAGGCCAGCUAGCUGUGUAUGUUCUAAGCCUGAAAGCAAUACUUUUAUUUACUGGCCAUAAUAAAGAAAAUACUAGUACCGUAAAUUACUACUGAUGUCAGUGAGAUCUUUUCUAGCCACUCACUUGGCCAGAUGGCCUUUAUAUUUUUUGCUGUAAAUUAUACCAGGUAACUCAAGAAACAUCUGUCUUCAUAUACAAAUGUAUUUCUCCUGUCUUCUUUCUCCUUUUUUUCCCUUUUAGGUUGCUUUGCAAUUCUCAGCUGAAAUAAAGAUGGCUUCAAGAGAGAGAGAUUCACACGCACAGAGGACUAUUCCCAAACCAAAAGCAUCCCUCCGCUUAACACAGCCCGAGAGAGGGCCAGGUAUCCGCUAUUUGCUGAGCCCAUGCUGAGAAAAUGAAAACCAUGCUGGCCUCCCACAUCUUCGUGAUGGAUAACAGUUUACUUCAGAGAAGCCAAGCCAAGCGUAGACAAAGAGAAAAGACGGAGGCCAGGAUCUUGAGGCUGCUCCGAGCUACAGAAGCCCACAGUCACCUCGAAAGCUGCGACUCCGCUGUCAGGAGGCAGGGGCAAAGGAAAUAAAUCAUCUGAUAUCCUGCCAGCAAACUGCCAGAGGCGCUUUGAGACUGGAGGAGUUUCUCCUGCCCUGAAAGAGCAUUAAAAAAAAAAAAAAAAAGUCGGCUGAUAACUUGGACAGGGUUCAGGUAUGUUUGUGCACAUACCAGCAGUUAAACUGAUUUCUUCUACUAUCUUAUCUGUCCAUUUCUGGUUU